This is a long non-coding RNA of Paramisgurnus dabryanus, 5968 nucleotides long. RefSeq lists it as uncharacterized. The record is from RefSeq and is a predicted model, not a curated record. NCBI's taxonomy places the organism in Eukaryota, Metazoa, Chordata, Actinopteri, Cypriniformes, Cobitidae.
CAGUGUCACUUUCUCCAGACACGUCUCUUUAGCGGUUACGCCUGCUUAAACAUGCACACACAGGGCUCUCUUACACACACUUGCCGUGUCUGACCCUAGGGUCACGCUGAAGUGACUUUGAGCCCCAUGUGUAACAGGGCCUCUUUGAAAUCGGGCCUCACAUUCCUGCCCGCUCUAACGGGGGAUGUCCUGCUCGCUUCCAGCCAGAAGGAAGUUUCUGCCGUCGGGGAUUAUGCGCAGCUUCCUCACCCAGAAGCUCUCGUCUCCUCCCACUCUUAAAAAAGCAGCGCAUCCACAAAGCAGAAAGCGCCGUGAACCAAAUACCUGCCUGUCCGACCGCCAGCCUCACCUCUUUUCCGCCCCGCUCGUCUGCGCUCGUGCACUCUCAGGGAGGAGGCGGCCGCUCUCCGUCCGCUUUUGUGUGGUUGUGCAGAAGUGCCGCGGAUGGGAGGAGGAGGAGGGGAACAGCUGCUCCCCGCACAGAAGCCGGUUUCCCAGCCUGACUGGCAGCGAGAGGCAGCCAGUGCCGGCCCGUUUCCCCCGGGGGCCCCGGCUUGGUUCUCCAGCCUCCACAGCUCCGGGAGGGACUUUUUACAGCUGCAUUGAAACACGAAAUGGACCGGAGCAAGUAGGAUUCUUUCUCUUCCCAAAGGCCGGGAGCGUGUGUUCUCACAUGAACGACAGAAGCAGUCAUGGAUUAAAGCAUCGCUGAAAUUCGAUCAGGUUGCUGUCGGCUGAUGGGACUCCAGUGAAACCUGCUCCUCCUCCUCAGCAGAGCUGUUAAGCCAUCGGACGGCUCUUAGCGGCAGCCGCAGGUGCCACCUUCACCUGGACGAAAAGCCGCGUGAGCCUCAGACACACAAACACCUGAGCCAGACCAGUUUUUCUUCUUCGAACGAUAAACCUGUCUGUCAUCCUAGAAUGAAGCCACUAUCUGUUUUUGCGGUCUGUCACUCUAUCCUUUGCAACAAAAAAAAUCAUUUAUUGCAGAGUAACGUCUGUGAUCAUCUCUAAGGUGUUAUUUUUGUCUAAUUGCUAUAAUUAAUGGUUUUAAUUGCUGUAAUUUUCCCUCUUUUAGGUGUACAGAGCAGAUGAGGUACUGUUUUCAGCUUGUGGCGUAUACUGCAGAAAUGAAGCGGCGCGUGUAUGUGUGUUUGUGUGAAAAUGUGCUGCGGCGGUUCCAGCAGGUGAGUUUGACACACAAACACAGUCCUGCAUUAAAAGAGGCGGGGAACAGAGACGGACCCCACGACCUUCUGCUUUCAGACGCUGUCCUGCACAGCAGUGCCUUAAACACAGACAUAAAAGCAUACAUUUACACACAAACCCCCCUACAUGUAUACAAGCACAACUGUGUAUUUUAAAAUGUUGUUGUGAAUGCAGAUCUUUUAAUAAAUUAUCUUUUUUAACACUUUGCAGUAUCUUUGUAUAUUUCUGUUUGUAAAUUUGAAAAUUUUUGGAUCAUAGGCUUAAACCAAACGGGUAGAAAGGUUGAAAGGUACAGCAGUUCACCCCAAACUUAAUUUGUAAACCUGUCUUUAAAAUUCAGGUUAAAAUCUCAUAAUGUAAUGAUGAGAUUAGGAGCAUCAAAGUUUGAUUUUAAUCAUUGAUUUCAAUCUUUACUUAAGAUAUCAAGGUUAUAUUUACACUUAUAGUUUUUUUUACAUUAUAUAGUAGUAAAUCAUAAAAAUAAAUGACUUUAAAUGAUUUUAGUUUUCAUUAAAACUCAAUGCUACCACCACCACUCAUAGUCGCAAUAUCACAGCAUUAGUUACAUGUGUGAGUGUGUGCGUGCACAUCCUCCCUGACUUCGGGAAGCGUGCGCGCGACCCAGUGUGCUUGCAGACGUGUGUGUGUGCGCGCGCGCUCGCGCGUCCCUCUCUCUUCCCGUAGAGCGACCGGCCAGGCUGCAGAUAUCAUCCAUCUCCUUGUCACAAAGCGCUGGGGUUGCUGGGUAGGCAGCAGACAGCCGCUCGGCACUGAGGAUGGGAGCUGAAUCCUAAUUCAGAGUCCGCUCCUCUCCCCCGCCUCCCACGAUGGAAAAUCGUUAACCUCGGGAUUGGAGAACAAAGCAGAGAGCUUUAGCCGACUGUUAUCUCGAAACGCCCCUGCAACAAUAUGUUUUAAACAAGUCAGAGUCUUGGAAAGGAGACAGUGAAAAUCAGCCAAUAUAUACUCAAUUACUGCCUUCAGUAUGACUUACUGUGAGGUGAGGUGGGCUGAUGGCAGGAUGGAUUUGAAAAGAUGUCAAAGAUAUAGGAUCAAUGUUGGCUGCUGCUUUCUGAACAGCCCAAAAAACAAGAAUUAAAAGAAACUUUGAUGAAACGGAUCCUCAAUAAUGUGACAUCCAAGGAGUCUGGCAUUUGCUGCUUAAAUAAGGAGUUAUUUACAGAUUCGCCGUUUUUGUAAAGACCAAGGAAAGCUGUCUCAGACGGAGAACAAUGCAAUGUGCUCAACCUGACCUUUUUUUUCAGUGUGAUAAAUGAAACGGCUGUAUAUAAACUGUAAUGUUUAAUAACCCCUUCAAUUUUUGAAGUUUUCUGACUGCUAAAAUGAAAAAAAAUAUAUAGUCAAAGAAUCAGAUUUAAUUUCAAGAUAAGUGGUUUAAGUAGAGAGGUAAUUUGACAACAAUAAAGCAAUUUACAGUUUGAAACACUGGUAAUGCUAUAUAAUAAGGUUGUAUUUGUUAACAUUAGUUGGUUACUAUACUUACCAUGAACUAACAAUGACCAAUAUUGAAUCAUUAAUUUGAUAUUCAACAUUUUUAUUUCUGAAGUUGUUUCUCUUAUGCACAAUGAACUAAUUAUCAAAAAAUGAACAAUAGCAUUGAUAUUAACAAACAUAAACUAAGAUUAAUUAACGCUGUAAACCUGUACUGUUUAUUUUUAGUUUAUGUUAGCUAAUGCCUUAACCCAGUGGUUCUCAAACUCAAGGUUCCCACGGGUCCUUGAAAUCCUUAAAAGUUUUUAAAUCUGGGGGGAAAUAUCAAGGCCCUGAGAAGUUUUUGAAAAUGUACAUACAUAGAUACAGGUCAUUGAAAGUGCUUGAAUCUAUUUUAUGCAAGAGGUUUUCUGGAAAAAAAUCCAUAUUUUUCCCUGUGUAGUGUAGGAUAAUAUCAUACAAUUUCUAGCCUUUUAAGCACACAUGCUAAACUGUUUGCUUUAAAUGCUUUUAUCUUCUCUAUGCCAAUGAAAACGUCUCUGGUUACGUAUGUAACUGUUGUUCCCUGAGAAGGGAACGAGACGCUGCGUCUCUCUUGCCAUACUUCCUGCGUCCCUGUAACGCCAUCUUUGGCAAUAUUUCAGAUAGCGAUAUACUUCCUGGCUCCUGCGUCACCCUGUCUUUAUCGUUAAACCUCACCAUUGGUUGAAUUUGAUAUACACAUUCAGACGCACCCCUGGAGGCGUCCCCAAAGUGUCACCGCAGCGCGAGUUCCCUCCAAAGGGAACUGUAACAAUGUAUCUUAAAAGGUAAUAUGAUGUAACCUUGCUCUUACUUGAAAUGUGUCACCACAUUUAGUCCUUGAGGUUGAGGGUAUUGGACCUGGAAAGUCCUUGAAAGGUCCUUGAAUUUAAAGUUAACUAAGGUGUGGGAACCCUGAAAAGUUUUAGCAUACCCCCAAAAUGAAAAUCAUGGCAAAACGGUCUCUAACUUAAAAUUUGAAUUAAACAAAACAUAUUAAAUGAUACAAUGUAGUGCUGAUGGUUGGUAGCUAUGUUUGUCUACGGUUUGUUCACACAGAAUUUAUUAUGAAGUUAAUAAUGACAUAAAACUGGGGCCAACCUAGCACCAUUUGUGCCCCCCCAAGUUUGGGAACCACUGCUUUAAUGAAUGUUAAUGGGUUUAAUAUUAUUGUAUAAGUGUUACAUUUAUGCAUUUGGCAGACGCUUUUAUCCAAAGCAACUUAAUGCUCCUGUAUAACUCAGUGGUAGAGCAUUGCAUUAGGAGAGCAGAAGGUCAUGGGUUCAAACCCAAGGAACGCACAUAUUGAUAAAGUGUAACGCACAAGUCACUUUAGAUAGAAGCAUCUGCCAAAUGCAUGAACGUAAAAAUAUAUAAACAAGGUAUUUUUUCAUUAUACAUUCUAUCAGUAUGUGUUCCCUGUGAACCCAUGACCUUUUGCGCUGCUAACGCAAUUCUCUAUCAAUUGCGUUACAGAAAUAUCUUAAAUCUUUAAUGUUAUAUACUGUGUACUAUACGUUGUAAACGCAGGGUCCUUUGCAGGCUUUCAGUAUAGACAGCUUUAUUUCAGCCUCCUUUGUUAUUAGAAGAGUUGAAGUCACUUUCAUUGGUCCUGUGAUCUGUUUGCUCAGGCUGUUGGCCCGGACUGUGGAUGUCUUGGACAUGCAAUUCUGUUACAGCUCUUGGACCUCUUUGUUGUUUUGAACUCGUUGGACCCUUGUGAGUCUGUAGGCCUGGGAAACAGAUCCGGUCUCACACACAAAGGAAACUUUGAUUCAAGGGUGAGUAAAACAAACGCUCUGCUUGUACGUUAUCUAAAUCUACUGGCCUUUCUUCUGAAGUCGGUCCCGAGGGAUCUCUCAUAUGAAGAGGAAAGAAAAACGGAAUUAUCUUCGGUACAAGCGAAACAAUCGUAGUGCAUGAAUCCUGGAGUCCAAAACAAACAGCUUUGAGCGGGAGAAGGAAGAUCGAGACCAGCAGGAGAGCGGCUCUUCAUAUGUUAUCUGGAAAUUCAGGUCUGUUGAUCUCCACAAGAAUAAACUCUUUAACCCGAGUGUCCACGUUGAUUGGCCGGCUUGUAAAGGAAACAGUAAAAGUGUUCCUGUGGAUUUUGUGGUAGAGCAUUGCGUUAGCAACGUACUGUAAAAGGUUGUGGGUUCAAUUCAGGGAACGCACAUACUGAUAAAAUGUACAUAGCUGUAUAAUUUAACAUAGCUGUCAAAUGCAUAAAUAUAAAUGCUAAUUGGUAAAGUGUGAAUCUAGGUUUGAUUUCCAGGGCACACCGACUGAUUAAAUGGACUUCAUAAACCAUAUGUGAGGAAUGCUGUCGAUUACCACAAGCAAGCAAUUUUGAUUCUGCAAACGUCAAACUGGAGAGACGUGUAAUGUUUUUUCCUGUUAAUAAAUCAAAUAAAAUGACAUUUUCUUAUGGCCACAGGGCACACAAAGAAAUUGUAGUUGGCACAUGAAGUGAAUAUGACAAUUCAGUAGUAAUCAUUUCUACUCAUCCUCAUGUUGUUCCAAAGCAAUACAUUUUUAUUAGACAUUUCGCAAAAUGUUUUAUUUUAAAAUGAUUGAUGCUUCUUAUCACACAAUAAAAAGUAAAUAAUGACACACUGCAAGUCGAACUUCCAACUCAAAGAAUUGUCUUUCAUCUGUAACUUGUCUUUUAAUCUGUUUAUUAUGCACAAUAUUAUCAAUUCUGUACUGCAACCUUUUCACUUUUCAGAGAUUUUCGCCGUUUUGAUAGGGUUUUUAUCGUGUUAUAACAUUUUACGUCAGGCGCUGCAGACGCAACAGUGCAGUCGCAGACGUCAUCAGCACCUGAGCGCGGGCUCCUUGCUGCUGCAUUUUGCUAUCUGACGAAUUAAAAGGUCGUCGGAAACGCUCACAACAUUUCCAACCCUCAGUACGGUAAUGUGCAGAAAGAAAUUGUAUGGCUUGAAAUGUGACAGUCUCAACGUUAUAUUAGUAGAUGUCUAAAUUCAUCGGAAAGCCUACAACGCCAAAGUUCACGUGGGUGCGGAUCACAUGCUCACACAUGAGGUAAAAUUUUCCUUAAAUCAUAUUCCUCUUCUAAUUUUGUAAAUAAACAUAUUUUUAAAGUUGUAUUAGUUGCGUUUAAAUUAAAGUUGAAGACAAAUAACAUGUAGAUUACAGCAUAAUUGCUUUUGUAGCAUUCAACAUUAAAAUCAAUGAUGUGAUUGUUGCUUAUGUCAUUUUCAUUGUUUAUAUACUUUAUGGAUUUUAAAUUACACUCAUUUGAUAACAUUGUUGUACAAAUGAA